RNAcentral lists this long non-coding RNA (813 nucleotides) under Lupinus angustifolius (narrow-leaved blue lupine). Its description in RNAcentral is "long non-coding RNA (LANG_LNC003728)". The record is from RNAcentral. Lineage: Eukaryota; Viridiplantae; Streptophyta; Magnoliopsida; Fabales; Fabaceae.
AUUCCAAUUCACUUUUCACUUUCCAUAUUUUCACUUUUGUCCUUUCAACCACACCACUCCUUAGGCUUCCACCACUCUCUUUCUUCAAUCUUUCUUUCAUUUCCAUCUCUUCCCUUCUCCUCUAAACAAUAUAAGCUCAUAGACCUCAUCAAAACAAGAAUGGUUCCAAACAACCUUUGAGAGUUAAGAGCAACAAAGAGAAUGAUGAAACUCAUGUAAUUUUUCCCCACAUGGAUCUAUUUCAAAAUGUUAUAUUGAACUCCGGUACCUUUACCUAUUUGUUGUUUUUUAGUACAAUCUUUACUAACAAGGUAAUAUUUUUUUGUCAUUUCUAUUAAGGGAUCAGAUUGCUCCCCAUUGGAACCUGUGAUGAAGACUGCCCACGGCCAGAGCCCCCUCUUAUUACCUGGGUCUGUGAUGGACAUGCGGGUUGCCCCCCAUCCAUUCUUCAUUAUCUUCCAUCUUUUUUUGCUUUUCAUUUUUACAUUUUACUAUUUUCAACCUAAAUCUCAUUUCUUUUGCUUUUUAUAUUUAAUUUCGUUUGUUGCAUGUUUAGAUCUACAACAAAAGAGUCAUGAGUUAGUCCAUUUUUAAUUUGUUUUAUUAUGUGGGUAAUUUGUUUGUGAAGAUGUGUAACAUGCCUUUAUUUUCUUUCAUUUCAAGCCUCUGUCUACUAUUUAGUUGUUGCUUAAAUAUUAUUUUGCAAUUUUGAUUCAUUUACUAUGUGUACUACUGUAUACAUUGAUAUAUUUGAAAGUUAUUUUUUGUUAUAUAAACAUAAUUUAUAAGAGAAGGGAAAAAGCUAGAAGAUUU